RNAcentral lists this ribosomal RNA (274 nucleotides) under uncultured bacterium. RNAcentral describes it as "partial 16S ribosomal RNA". It matches the Rfam family "Bacterial small subunit ribosomal RNA", at positions 523 to 796 of the family's 1533-position model. The record is from RNAcentral.
AGACGGAGGGGGCUAGCGUUGUUCGGAAUUACUGGGCGUAAAGCGCGCGUAGGCGGAUUGGUCAGUUGGGGGUGAAAUCCCGAGGCUUAACCUCGGAACUGCCUUCAAAACUGCCAGUCUUGAGUCCGGGAGAGGUGAGUGGAAUUCCUAGUGUAGAGGUGAAAUUCGUAGAUAUUAGGAAGAACACCAGUGGCGAAGGCGGCUCACUGGCCCGGUACUGACGCUGAGGCGCGAAAGCGUGGGGAGCAAACAGGAUUAGAAACCCCGGUAGUCC